RNAcentral lists this ribosomal RNA (2932 nucleotides) under Escherichia coli. Its description in RNAcentral is "bacterial LSU rRNA". It matches the Rfam family "Bacterial large subunit ribosomal RNA". The record is from RNAcentral. Lineage: Bacteria; Pseudomonadati; Pseudomonadota; Gammaproteobacteria; Enterobacterales; Enterobacteriaceae.
GGGUUGUGAGGUUAAGCGACUAAGCGUACACGGUGGAUGCCCUGGCAGUCAGAGGCGAUGAAGGACGUGCUAAUCUGCGAUAAGCGUCGGUAAGGUGAUAUGAACCGUUAUAACCGGCGAUUUCCGAAUGGGGAAACCCAGUGUGAUUCGUCACACUAUCAUUAACUGAAUCCAUAGGUUAAUGAGGCGAACCGGGGGAACUGAAACAUCUAAGUACCCCGAGGAAAAGAAAUCAACCGAGAUUCCCCCAGUAGCGGCGAGCGAACGGGGAGCAGCCCAGAGCCUGAAUCAGUGUGUGUGUUAGUGGAAGCGUCUGGAAAGGCGCGCGAUACAGGGUGACAGCCCCGUACACAAAAAUGCACAUGCUGUGAGCUCGAUGAGUAGGGCGGGACACGUGGUAUCCUGUCUGAAUAUGGGGGGACCAUCCUCCAAGGCUAAAUACUCCUGACUGACCGAUAGUGAACCAGUACCGUGAGGGAAAGGCGAAAAGAACCCCGGCGAGGGGAGUGAAAAAGAACCUGAAACCGUGUACGUACAAGCAGUGGGAGCACAGAGCAAUCUGUGUGACUGCGUACCUUUUGUAUAAUGGGUCAGCGACUUAUAUUCUGUAGCAAGGUUAACCGAAUAGGGGAGCCGAAGGGAAACCGAGUCUUAACUGGGCGUUAAGUUGCAGGGUAUAGACCCGAAACCCGGUGAUCUAGCCAUGGGCAGGUUGAAGGUUGGGUAACACUAACUGGAGGACCGAACCGACUAAUGUUGAAAAAUUAGCGGAUGACUUGUGGCUGGGGGUGAAAGGCCAAUCAAACCGGGAGAUAGCUGGUUCUCCCCGAAAGCUAUUUAGGUAGCGCCUCGUGAAUUCAUCUCCGGGGGUAGAGCACUGUUUCGGCAAGGGGGUCAUCCCGACUUACCAACCCGAUGCAAACUGCGAAUACCGGAGAAUGUUAUCACGGGAGACACACGGCGGGUGCUAACGUCCGUCGUGAAGAGGGAAACAACCCAGACCGCCAGCUAAGGUCCCAAAGUCAUGGUUAAGUGGGAAACGAUGUGGGAAGGCCCAGACAGCCAGGAUGUUGGCUUAGAAGCAGCCAUCAUUUAAAGAAAGCGUAAUAGCUCACUGGUCGAGUCGGCCUGCGCGGAAGAUGUAACGGGGCUAAACCAUGCACCGAAGCUGCGGCAGCGACACUGUGUGUUGUUGGGUAGGGGAGCGUUCUGUAAGCCUGCGAAGGUGUGCUGUGAGGCAUGCUGGAGGUAUCAGAAGUGCGAAUGCUGACAUAAGUAACGAUAAAGCGGGUGAAAAGCCCGCUCGCCGGAAGACCAAGGGUUCCUGUCCAACGUUAAUCGGGGCAGGGUGAGUCGACCCCUAAGGCGAGGCCGAAAGGCGUAGUCGAUGGGAAACAGGUUAAUAUUCCUGUACUUGGUGUUACUGCGAAGGGGGGACGGAGAAGGCUAUGUUGGCCGGGCGACGGUUGUCCCGGUUUAAGCGUGUAGGCUGGUUUUCCAGGCAAAUCCGGAAAAUCAAGGCUGAGGCGUGAUGACGAGGCACUACGGUGCUGAAGCAACAAAUGCCCUGCUUCCAGGAAAAGCCUCUAAGCAUCAGGUAACAUCAAAUCGUACCCCAAACCGACACAGGUGGUCAGGUAGAGAAUACCAAGGCGCUUGAGAGAACUCGGGUGAAGGAACUAGGCAAAAUGGUGCCGUAACUUCGGGAGAAGGCACGCUGAUAUGUAGGUGAAGUCCCUCGCGGAUGGAGCUGAAAUCAGUCGAAGAUACCAGCUGGCUGCAACUGUUUAUUAAAAACACAGCACUGUGCAAACACGAAAGUGGACGUAUACGGUGUGACGCCUGCCCGGUGCCGGAAGGUUAAUUGAUGGGGUCAGCGCAAGCGAAGCUCUUGAUCGAAGCCCCGGUAAACGGCGGCCGUAACUAUAACGGUCCUAAGGUAGCGAAAUUCCUUGUCGGGUAAGUUCCGACCUGCACGAAUGGCGUAAUGAUGGCCAGGCUGUCUCCACCCGAGACUCAGUGAAAUUGAACUCGCUGUGAAGAUGCAGUGUACCCGCGGCAAGACGGAAAGACCCCGUGAACCUUUACUAUAGCUUGACACUGAACAUUGAGCCUUGAUGUGUAGGAUAGGUGGGAGGCUUUGAAGUGUGGACGCCAGUCUGCAUGGAGCCGACCUUGAAAUACCACCCUUUAAUGUUUGAUGUUCUAACGUUGACCCGUGAUCCGGGUUGCGGACAGUGUCUGGUGGGUAGUUUGACUGGGGCGGUCUCCUCCUAAAGAGUAACGGAGGAGCACGAAGGUUGGCUAAUCCUGGUCGGACAUCAGGAGGUUAGUGCAAUGGCAUAAGCCAGCUUGACUGCGAGCGUGACGGCGCGAGCAGGUGCGAAAGCAGGUCAUAGUGAUCCGGUGGUUCUGAAUGGAAGGGCCAUCGCUCAACGGAUAAAAGGUACUCCGGGGAUAACAGGCUGAUACCGCCCAAGAGUUCAUAUCGACGGCGGUGUUUGGCACCUCGAUGUCGGCUCAUCACAUCCUGGGGCUGAAGUAGGUCCCAAGGGUAUGGCUGUUCGCCAUUUAAAGUGGUACGCGAGCUGGGUUUAGAACGUCGUGAGACAGUUCGGUCCCUAUCUGCCGUGGGCGCUGGAGAACUGAGGGGGGCUGCUCCUAGUACGAGAGGACCGGAGUGGACGCAUCACUGGUGUUCGGGUUGUCAUGCCAAUGGCACUGCCCGGUAGCUAAAUGCGGAAGAGAUAAGUGCUGAAAGCAUCUAAGCACGAAACUUGCCCCGAGAUGAGUUCUCCCUGACUCCUUGAGAGUCCUGAAGGAACGUUGAAGACGACGACGUUGAUAGGCCGGGUGUGUAAGCGCAGCGAUGCGUUGAGCUAACCGGUACUAAUGAACCGUGAGGCUUAACCUUACAACGCCGAAGGUGUUU